Molecule: ribosomal RNA, 253 nt
Filed under: uncultured bacterium
Lineage: Bacteria
Description: partial 16S ribosomal RNA
Rfam family: Bacterial small subunit ribosomal RNA
Source: RNAcentral
GACGAACCGUGCGAACGUUGUUCGGAUUCACUGGGCUUAAAGGGCGCGUAGGCGGGCCACUCAGUCCGGGGUGAAAUCUUUCGGCUUAACCGGAAACGAGCCUUGGAGACGGGUGGUCUGGAGGGAGAUAGGGGCAGGUGGAACUUCCGGUGGAGCGGUGAAAUGCGUUGAUAUCGGAAGGAACACCUGAGGCGAAGGCGGGUUACUGGGCUGAUACUGACGCUGAUGCGCGAAAGCCAGGGGAGCAAACGGG